This 432-nucleotide ribosomal RNA is filed under the name uncultured bacterium. RNAcentral's name for it is "partial 16S ribosomal RNA". It matches the Rfam family "Bacterial small subunit ribosomal RNA", at positions 29 to 507 of the family's 1533-position model. The record is from RNAcentral.
ACGCACGCUGGCGGCACGCCUAACACAUGCCAGUCGAACGAGACCUUCGGGUCUAGUGGCGCACGGGUGCGUAACGCGUGGGAACCUGCCCUUAGGUUCGGAAUAACUCCCCGAAAGGGGUGCUAAUACCGGAUAAUGUCUUCGGACCAAAGAUUUAUCGCCUUUGGAUGGGCCCGCGUUGGAUUAGCUAGUUGGUAGGGUAAAAGCCUACCAAGGCGACGAUCCAUAGCUGGUCUGAGAGGAUGAUCAGCCACACUGGGACUGAGACACGGCCCAGACUCCUACGGGAGGCAGCAGUGGGGAAUAUUGGACAAUGGGCGAAAGCCUGAUCCAGCAAUGCCGCGUGAGUGAUGAAGGCCUUAGGGUUGUAAAGCUCUUUUACCCGGGAUGAUAAUGACAGUACCGGGAGAAUAAGCUCCGGCUAACUCCGUG